UUAGCAUUCCAAUAGAUUGUAAGAAGCCUU
Molecule: non-coding RNA, 30 nt
Filed under: Rattus norvegicus (Norway rat)
Lineage: Eukaryota; Metazoa; Chordata; Mammalia; Rodentia; Muridae
Source: RNAcentral